Molecule: transfer RNA, 64 nt
Filed under: Chaetogeoica yunlongensis
Lineage: Eukaryota; Metazoa; Arthropoda; Insecta; Hemiptera; Aphididae
Also listed under: 1 other name
Description: tRNA-Asp
Source: RNAcentral
AAGAAAUUAGUUAAAAUAUAACAUUAAUAUGUCAAAUUAAAAUUAUUAAAAAAAAUAUUUCUUU